This 244-nucleotide ribosomal RNA is filed under the name uncultured anaerobic ammonium-oxidizing bacterium. RNAcentral describes it as "partial 16S ribosomal RNA". It matches the Rfam family "Bacterial small subunit ribosomal RNA", at positions 439 to 674 of the family's 1533-position model. The record is from RNAcentral.
GGAGUUAGGAAAUGCAGAGAUGUUAAUAGCGUCUUUGCUUGACUAAGGCUCCGGAGGAAGCCACGGCUAACUCUGUGCCAGCAGCCGCGGUAAUACAGAGGCGGCAAGCGUUGUUCGGAAUUAUUGGGCGUAAAGAGCACGUAGGCGGCUAUGUAAGUCGGUUGUGAAAGACUUCCGCUCAGCGGGAGAACAGCGUCCGAUACUGCAUGGCUUGGGUGCGGGAGGGGAGAGUGGAACUUCUGGU